UGCAGCCACGUCAAGCCCAGCGCCCAGCCCGCCCGCGGCAGGCACCGCCCAGAAGGCUACCACAGAAUCACUGCGACUCAUGGGCCCUGAUCCCCACUACUGGGCCUCAGGGAUAAAUUAAAAAAUAAAUAAAA
Molossus molossus (Pallas's mastiff bat) is the source of this 134-nucleotide small nucleolar RNA. RefSeq annotates it as small nucleolar RNA SNORA5. Lineage: Eukaryota; Metazoa; Chordata; Mammalia; Chiroptera; Molossidae. The record is from RefSeq and is a predicted model, not a curated record. The transcript has a single exon.